Molecule: ribosomal RNA, 324 nt
Filed under: Actinoplanes sp. ATCC 53533
Lineage: Bacteria; Bacillati; Actinomycetota; Actinomycetes; Micromonosporales; Micromonosporaceae
Description: bacterial SSU rRNA
Rfam family: Bacterial small subunit ribosomal RNA
Source: RNAcentral
GCUACAAUGGCCGGUACAAAGGGCUGCGAUGCCGUAAGGUGGAGCGAAUCCCAAAAAGCCGGUCUCAGUUCGGAUCGGGGUCUGCAACUCGACCCCGUGAAGUCGGAGUCGCUAGUAAUCGCAGAUCAGCAACGCUGCGGUGAAUACGUUCCCGGGCCUUGUACACACCGCCCGUCACGUCACGAAAGUCGGCAACACCCGAAGCCCAUGGCCUAACCCCGCAAGGGGAGGGAGUGGUCGAAGGUGGGGCUGGCGAUUGGGACGAAGUCGUAACAAGGUAGCCGUACCGGAAGGUGCGGCUGGAUCACCUCCUUUCUAAGGAGC